Molecule: long non-coding RNA, 393 nt
Filed under: Elaeis guineensis (African oil palm)
Lineage: Eukaryota; Viridiplantae; Streptophyta; Magnoliopsida; Arecales; Arecaceae
Description: long non-coding RNA (EGUI_LNC024602)
Source: RNAcentral
GGGUUGACCAAACUGAACUCAAAUUGAGGAUCAUUGCUACUGUUAGGAUAAAGAGAUCAUGAAGCUGACUCAAGUAAACCACAUAUAUGAGAUGUUUCAUUUCGAUCAAGGAUGAAGCUGUCUACUUCUUUAUUUAGAAUAGAGGGUUCCACAUCCAUGUGGCUCUGGGGGCAAAAGAAGGUGAAAUACAAGAGUUCCAUAGAUAUAUUCAGCUACCAAACCUAGCAAAAGAAGCUAAGAACCUAAAUUUGGAACAUGUUAGCCAUUGCAAGUGAGGCCCAUCUCCUUCCGACAACGGGCCAUUUCCAUACCCUUUAGCUUGUUGACUUUAGCAACUUCAAAAGGUGAGAAUAAAAUCCCACAUUUAUAUCCCAGAUCUCGCAUGUCCUUGGC